GCUUAACACAUGCAAGUCGAGCGGAAACGAUGGGAGCUUGCUCCCAGGCGUCGAGCGGCGGACGGGUGAGUAAUACUUAGGAAUCUGCCCAGUAGUGGGGGAUAGCUCGGGGAAACUCGAAUUAAUACCGCAUACACCCUACGGGGAAAAGGGGGCGCUUGCGCUCUCGCUAUUGGAUGAGCCUAAGUCGGAUUAGCUAGUUGGUGGGGUAAAGGCCUACCAAGGCGACGAUCUGUAGCUGGUCUGAGAGGAUGAUCAGCCACACCGGGACUGAGACACGGCCCGGACUCCUACGGGAGGCAGCAGUGGGGAAUAUUGGACAAUGGGGGCAACCCUGAUCCAGCCAUGCCGCGUGUGUGAAGAAGGCCUUUUGGUUGUAAAGCACUUUAAGCAGUGAAGAAGACCUAACGGUUAAUACCCGUUAGCGAUGACAUUAGCUGCAGAAUAAGCACCGGCUAACUCUGUGCCAGCAGCCGCGGUAAUACAGAGGGUGCAAGCGUUAAUCGGAAUUACUGGGCGUAAAGCGAGCGUAGGUGGCUUGAUAAGUCAGAUGUGAAAUCCCCGGGCUUAACCUGGGAACUGCAUCUGAUACUGUCAGGCUAGAGUAGGUGAGAGGGAGGUAGAAUUUCAGGUGUAGCGGUGAAAUGCGUAGAGAUCUGAAGGAAUACCGAUGGCGAAGGCAGCCUCCUGGCAUCAUACUGACACUGAGGUUCGAAAGCGUGGGUAGCAAACAGGAUUAGAUACCCUGGUAGUCCACGCCGUAAACGAUGUCUACUAGUCGUUGGGGAACUUGAUUCCUUAGUGACGCAGCUAACGCAAUAAGUAGACCGCCUGGGGAGUACGGCCGCAAGGUUAAAACUCAAAUGAAUUGACGGGGGCCCGCACAAGCGGUGGAGCAUGUGGUUUAAUUCGAUGCAACGCGAAGAACCUUACCUGGUCUUGACAUAUCUAGAAUCCUGCAGAGAUGCGGGAGUGCCUUCGGGAAUUAGAAUACAGGUGCUGCAUGGCUGUCGUCAGCUCGUGUCGUGAGAUGUUGGGUUAAGUCCCGCAACGAGCGCAACCCUUUUCCUUAGUUACCAGCGGUUUGGCCGGGGACUCUAAGGAUACUGCCAGUGACAAACUGGAGGAAGGCGGGGACGACGUCAAGUCAUCAUGGCCCUUACGACCAGGGCUACACACGUGCUACAAUGGUAGGUACAGAGGGCAGCUACACAGCGAUGUGAUGCGAAUCUCAAAAAGCCUAUCGUAGUCCAGAUUGGAGUCUGCAACUCGACUCCAUGAAGUAGGAAUCGCUAGUAAUCGCGGAUCAGAAUGCCGCGGUGAAUACGUUCCCGGGCCUUGUACACACCGCCCGUCACACCAUGGGAGUUGAUUGCACCAGAAGUGGGUAGCCUAACUUUUAGAGGGCGCUCACCACGGUGUGGUUG
RNAcentral lists this ribosomal RNA (1427 nucleotides) under uncultured bacterium. RNAcentral describes it as "16S ribosomal RNA". It matches the Rfam family "Bacterial small subunit ribosomal RNA". The record is from RNAcentral.